UACGAGGGGGGCAAGCGUUGUUCGGAAUUAUUGGGCGUAAAGGGUGCGUAGGCGGUCUGAUAAGUCAUCUGUGAAAUCUAUGGGCUCAACCCAUAGUCUGCAGGCGAAACUGUCGGGCUUGAGUAUGGGAGAGGUGAGUGGAAUUUCCGGUGUAGCGGUGAAAUGCGUAGAUAUCGGGAGGAACACCUGUGGCGAAAGCGGCGCACUGGACCACAACUGACGCUGAGGCGCGAAAGCUAGGGGAGCAAACAGG
This 253-nucleotide ribosomal RNA is filed under the name uncultured bacterium. RNAcentral describes it as "partial 16S ribosomal RNA". It matches the Rfam family "Bacterial small subunit ribosomal RNA", at positions 524 to 776 of the family's 1533-position model. The record is from RNAcentral.